AGGACGAACGCUGGCGGCGUGCCUAACACAUGCAAGUCGAACGAGAUCCAUGCAGUGGCAACACUGCGGAAGAUCUAGUGGCGAACGGGUGAGUAACACGUGAGGAACUUGCCCCGGAGACCGGGAUAACUCUCCGAAAGGAGAGCUAAUACCGGAUACCUCCACUUGGUCGCAUGGCCGAGUGAAGAAAUGGAUUCCGCUCCGGGAGAGCCUCGCGGCCUAUCAGCUAGUUGGUGGGGUAACGGCCCACCAAGGCAUCGACGGGUAGCUGGUCUGAGAGGACGAUCAGCCACACUGGGACUGAGACACGGCCCAGACUCCUACGGGAGGCAGCAGUGGGGAAUCUUGCGCAAGUGGGCGAAAGCCUGACGCAGCAACGCCGCGUGCGGAUGAAGGCCUUCGGGUUGUAAACCGCUUUCGAGUGGGACGAAGUCAAGACCGGUACCACAGAAGAACGCCCCGGACAACUACGUGACCAGACAGCCGACGUAAUCG
This 495-nucleotide ribosomal RNA is filed under the name uncultured soil bacterium. RNAcentral describes it as "bacterial SSU rRNA". It matches the Rfam family "Bacterial small subunit ribosomal RNA", at positions 26 to 527 of the family's 1533-position model. The record is from RNAcentral.